GCUAUUGACUAUAGUGCAUGGCUUAUAUAGCUAAUUAUAUAUAUUAUGUUAAUACUUUACAUUAUAGGUUAAAUAACUCAAGAAUAUUGUCUUCUAAACAGUUUUCGUAACCAAAAAUACUUAACAAAUAUUAUAUUACCUUCACUGGUAACAUGGAUUGGCACACCCCGACCUGAAUCGAGGCAUGUUGGCCGUCACGUGAGGGUGACGUAGUCAUGUGCAUAGUGCGGAAGCAAAAAUGAUAUGGAGAAAUACGAGUGAAUAAAAACCAAACUACUAAAGGUACUAGCUA
This 292-nucleotide long non-coding RNA is filed under the name Malus domestica (apple). Its description in RNAcentral is "long non-coding RNA (MDOM_LNC000255)". The record is from RNAcentral. Lineage: Eukaryota; Viridiplantae; Streptophyta; Magnoliopsida; Rosales; Rosaceae.